RNAcentral lists this ribosomal RNA (263 nucleotides) under uncultured bacterium. RNAcentral describes it as "partial 16S ribosomal RNA". It matches the Rfam family "Bacterial small subunit ribosomal RNA", at positions 793 to 1055 of the family's 1533-position model. The record is from RNAcentral.
GUCCACGCCGUAAACGAUGAGUGCUAGACGUCGGGGGCUUGCCCUUCGGUGUCGACGCUAACGCAUUAAGCACUCCGCCUGGGGAGUACGGUCGCAAGAUUAAACUCAAAGGAAUUGACGGGGCCCGCACAAGCGGUGGAGCAUGUGGUUUAAUUCGAAGCAACGCGCAGAACCUUACCAGCCCUUGACAUGGGACGUAUGGGAGGCGGAGACGCCUCUCUUCAGUUCGGCUGGCGUCCACACAGGUGCUGCAUGGCUGUCGU